This 1354-nucleotide long non-coding RNA is filed under the name Homo sapiens (human). Its description in RNAcentral is "HSALNT0253494". The record is from RNAcentral. Lineage: Eukaryota; Metazoa; Chordata; Mammalia; Primates; Hominidae.
CUCCCCUCUCUCCUGUACUCUGAGGGAGUAACCAGGGUAGUUUACAGUCACUUGCAAUUCCUUUUAGCUGAUAAACUGUGCUUCUCUGAGCCAGACUGGGUCACAUGGGGCCUGACCAUCACUUGGGUGCUGUACUGAAGCCCUACUACAGGCCCGCCUGCCAGAGGGAUUGACAAGGCAGAAGUCAGCAGGAAGGGCGAGGCCCCUGCCUGUGUGGAGCUCACGUGCUAAUGCAGGAGGCUGAGAGUGUGGAGCAUAGCCAGUAAAUAAGCAGGAAGGUGCCAGGUCAUAUUGUCAGUGCAGUGCAGAGAUGACACAGUGACGUGAGACACUGAUGAGACGGCUGCUUCCAAACAUGAGGCCAGGAUAGGUCUCACUAGGAGAGGACUUUUUUAAAUUGUGGUAAAAUACACACACUCUAAAAUCAAUCCUCAUAAGCACGUCUAGGUGCACACAGCUCAGUGGCAUUAGCAAUUUCACAUCCUCCUGCAGCCAUCAGCUCCUUCCACACCCAGAACUCUCCUUGUCUUACAAAAGAGAAACUCUGUGCCCCUUGAAGGAGGAAGGGACUUCUAAGUAGAGGCCCAAAUGACUAGAAAAAUGGGCCAGUGUUGGGGGCUUUUGGGGAAGAGAAAACAGCUCAGCAGACACAGGGGAGGCAGAAACACGGGAGGCAAGCAUGAGACACAGAGGGUGUAUCGGAGGGGGCUCUGAGGGGCACGGCCAAGCCAGGGAAGGUGUAUAGAUUUUCUUCUAAAGGCCAUGGUGUAUUAGUCUGUUCUCAUGCUGCUAAUAAAAACAUCACCAAGACUGGGCAAUUUAUAAAGGAAGGAGCUUUAAUGGACUCAUGAACUCACAGUUACACAUGGCUGGGGAGGCCUCACAGUCAUGACGGAAGGCAAAGGAGAAGCAAAGGCAAGUCUUACAUGGCGGUAGGCAAGACAGCUUGUGCAGGGGAACUGCCUUUUAUAAAACCAUCAUAUCUCAUGAGACUUAUUCACUAUCAUGAGAACAGUAAGGGGGAACCGCCCCUGUGAUUCAAUUCUCUCCACCUCGUCCUGGCCUUGACACAUGGGGAUUUUAACAUUCAAGGUGAGAUUUGGGUGCGGACACAGCCAAACCAUAUCACAUGGGAAGCACUGCAGGACUUCAAGUGAGGGAUGUGGCAUGACCAACGCAGGGCUAAAGAACCCAUCUCUCCAUGGUGUGGACUGAAACAGCCACUGCAGCCUGGGGAGCCUCAGGGCAGCUUGGGCGAGGUGAAGAACGGACAUGCAGAGAACAAGGAAGUUUGGGGGACAGCGUGACAGGAUGUGUCAACAGAUCAGGUACAUGGGGGUGCAAAGCAUCUGGG